AGGAUUUGGGUAGGUAAAGGAAAAUUACAGUCAAAGGGGGGUUGUUCUCUGGCGGGCAGAGUGGGAGUCACAAGGUACUCAGUGGGGGAGCUUUUGAGCCAGGAUGAGCCAGGAGAAGGAAUUUCACAAGAGAAUGUCAUCAGUUAAGGCAGGAACAGGCCAUUUUCACUUCUUUUGUGGUGGAAUGUCAUCAGUUAAGGCGGGAACCGGCCAUCUGGAUGUGUACGUGCAGGUCACAGGGGAUAUGAUGGCUUAGCUUGGGCUCAGAGGCCUGACAUUCCUGUCUUCUUAUAUUAAUAAGAAAAAUAAAAUGAAAUAGUGGUAAAGUGUUGGUACGGUGAAAAUUUUGGGGGAUGGUAUGGAGAGAGAGAAUGGGCGAUGUUUCUCAGGGCUGCUUUGAGCGGGAUUAGGGGUGGCGUGGGAACCUAGAGUGGGAGAGAUUAAGCUGAAGGAAGAUUUUGUGGUAAGGGGUGAUAUUGUGGGACUGUUAGAAGAAACAUUCGUCAUUUAGAAUUAUUGGUGAUGGCCUGGAUACAUUUUUGUAUGAAUUGAAAAACUAAAAGGAAUAAGAGAAGGAGAAAAACAGGUAUUAAAGGACUAAGAAUUGGGAAGACCCAGGACAUCUGAUUAGAGAGUGCCUAAGGAGGUUCAGCAUAGCCUUGCCAGUAAAGAUUAUUUAUUUCCUUUAGAGUUAAGAGUGGCGGUUUGGGGAUAGCACCAGGAGAUAUCAGCUGUGGUGGCUUGGAGAAACAGUGUAAACUGGCAGUGUAAACAAGAGCAGGGCAUGUAUGAAUAGUUGAGAACGGUGAAUAGGAGUAUGACUAGACAGAAGACAGUAGGGAUGACAAGUUUUUUGGGGCACAGCCCAAGUUGGUCUGGUGUCUAGAAUGAGACUGGGGCUUAAUAAAAAGGAGCUCAAAUGGGCUGUACCUUGUAGCAUUCCGAGGACAGGCCUGAAUUCUGAGAAGCGAAAGUGGUAAGAGUAUUGUCCAUUCCUUUUUAAGUUGGUGGCUGAGCUUGGUGAGGUGACCUUUAGUCCGUUCUACUUUUCUUGAAGAUGGAGGACCGUAAGGGAUAUAAAGGUUUCACUAAAUACUAACAGCCUAAAAAACUGCUUGGCUGAUUUGACUAAUAAAGGCUGGUCUGUUAUCAGACUGUAUAGAGGUGGGAAGGCUAAACUGAGGAAUUAUGUCUGACAGAAGGGAAGAAAUGACUGCAGUGGCCUUCUCAGACCCUGUAGGAAAGGCUUGUACCUAUCCAGUGAAAGUGUCUACCUAGACUAAGAGGUAUUUUAGUUAUCAGAGUUAUCUGACUCGGGGCAUGUUGAGUAAAGCUAAUUUGCCAGUCCUGGGUGGGGGCAAAUCCUCGAGCUUGAUGUGUAGGGAAGGGAGGGGGCCUGAAUAAUCCCUGAGGAGUAGUAGAAUAGCAGAUGGAACACUGAGAAGUUAUUUCCUUGAGGAUAGAUUUCCACGAUGGAAAGAAAAUGAGAGGUUCUAAGAGCCGGGCUAGUGGCUUGUACUAUAGCAUAGCCUGCCUUUGCUGGUGUGUGGCGAUUAGGCCUGGUGGAACUGCCAUCAGUAAAUCAAGCGUGAUCAGCGUGAGGAACAGGAAAGAAGGAAAUAUGGGGAAAUGGGGUGAAUGUCAGGUGGAUAAGAGAGAUACAGUCAUGGGAGUCAGGUGUGGUAUCAGGAAUAAUGUGGGAGGCUGGAUUGAAGUCCGGGCCAGGAACAAUGGUAAUUGUGGGACUUAACAAAGAGUGAGUACAGCUGAAGGAGCCAGGGAGCAGAAAGUAUAUGCGUCAGGUAUGAGGAAGAAAAUAGAUUUUGGAAGUUAUGAGAAAUGUAGAGAGUAAGUUGAGUAUAGUUUGUGAUUUUGAGGGCCUCUGAAAGUAUUAGGGCGGCAGCAGCCGCUGCACGGAGACAUGAGGGCUAGGCUAAAACAGUAAGGUCAAGUUGUUUGCACAGAAAGGCUACAGGGUGCGGUCCUGGCUCUUGUGUAAGAAUUCUGACUGCACUAACCAUGCCUAGGAAGGAAAGGAGUUGUUGUUUUGUAAGGGAUUGGGGUUUGGGAGAUUAAUCAGACACGAUCAGCAGGGAGAGCACGUAUGUUUUUGUGAGAAUUAUGCUGAGAUAGGUAACAGAUAAGGAAGAAAUUUGGGCUUGACUUAAGUAAUGGGGGCUGUCUGUGAAGCUUUGUGGCAGUACAGCCCAGGUAAUUUGCUGAGCCUGAUGGGUGUCAGGGUCAGUCCAAGUGAAAGUGAAGGGAGGCUGGGAUGACGGGUGCAAAGGAAUAGUAAAGAAAGCAUGUUUGAGAUCUAGAACAGAAUAAUGGAUUGUGGAGGGAGGUAUUGAGGAUAGGAGAGUAUAUGGGUUUGGCACCAUGGGGUGGAUAGGCAAAACAAUUUGGUUGAUAAGGCAUAGAUCCUGAACUAACUUGUAAGGCUUGUCUGGUUUUAGGACAGGUAAAAUGGGGGAAUUGUAAGGAGAGUUUAUAGGCUUUUAAAGGCCAUGCUGUAGCAGGUGAGUGAUAACAGGCUUUAAUCCUUUCAAAGCAUGCUGUGGGAUGGGAUAUUGGCAUUGAGCAGGGUAAGGGUGAUUAGGUUUUAACGAGAUGGUAAGGGGUGCAUGAUCGGUCGCCAAGGAGGGAGUAGAGGUAUCUUAUACUUGUGGGUUAAGGUGGGGGAAUACAAGAGGAGGACGCAAAGGAGGCUUUGGAUUGGGAAGAAGGGCAGCAAUGAGAUGUAACUGUAAUCCAGGAAUAGUCAGGGAAGCAGAUAAUUUAGUUAAAGUGUCUUGGCCUAAUAAGGGAACUGGGCAGGUGGGGAUAACUAAAAAGGAGUGCUUUAAAGAGUAUUGUCUAAGUUGGCACCAGAGUUGGGGAGUUUUAAGAGGUUUAGAAGGCUGGCUGUCAAUACCCACAACAGUUAUGGAGGCAAGGGAAACAGGCCCUUGAAAAGAAGGUAAUGUGGAGUGGGUAGCCUCCAUAUUGAUUAAGAAGGGGACAGACUUACCUUCCACUGUGAGAGUUACGCGAAGCUCAGCGUCCGUGAUGGUCUACGGGGCUUCCCAGGCGAUCGGGCAGUGUCAGUCUUCAGCCGCUAAGCCAAGAUCUGGGAAGCAGUCAGGGAGUCUUGGGCCAGAGUCCCAGGGGCUCUGGGAGUGGCUGCCAGGUCCUGGAUUUGUUGGAAAGUUCCGUGUAAUUCCUGGAGUUCUAUGGUGACGUUGUCAAGUACAAAGCGCUGGCCUAGGAGCUACGACAUGGGAGUUCCAAGCCUGCUCUUUCUCGCACGAGCUGAAACCAUUCAAUUGGAAUAGAAAUCAAGGGAUCAUUAAAUUCAUCCUUCUGCAUUCAGAUUCAGAAAAGCCUGAAUUUGCAAAAAGUUUGUUUCGAUCAUCAUAGGCAAGGUGAAAUAGAAAGUCGAAGAAAUCAUCUCGGUCAUUACGAGUCCUCAAGUAGUUGCUUUUUGUACUUUGAAUAAAGACUUUAGUCAUAGUAGGAGAGAUAGACUGUAAUGGACUUACUUCACGAUGGCUGCACCAGAGGUUCCAAGAACGAUGGCUUUCAACUUCAACCCACAUCUAAAACACACCACUGUAGCCACACCCUACACCCUGUGGUUAUCCAGUUGUGAGUCCUAUUGGAGAGAUGAGGUGUAUGACAGUUUCCUGGAGGGGGUCAUAUGGAUCUACUACUACCUUCCCACUGACAUUAGGCAGAUGUUCAUUAGAUUGGUUUGAUAGAUGUAAUGGUUAAUAUUGAGUGUCAACUUGAUUGGAUUGAAGGAUGCAAAGUAUUGUUCCUGGGUGCGUCUGUGAGGGUGUUGCCAAAGGAGAUUAACAUUUGAAUCAUUGGACUGGGAGAGGCAGACCCACCCUCAAUCUGGGUGGGCACAAUCUAAUCAGCUGCCAGCAUGGCCAGCAUAAAAGCAGGCAGAAGAAUGUGGAAGGAGUAGACUGGCUCAGUCUCCUGGCCUACAUCUUUCUCCCACGCUGCAUGCUUCCUGCCCUCGAACAUUGGACUCCAAGUUCUUCAGUUUUGGGACUCUUGAACCUUUGACCACAGACUGAAGGCUACACUGUUGACUUCCCUACUUUUGAGCUUUUAGGACUCGGACUGGCUUCCUUGUUCCUCAGCUUGCAGACGGCCUAUUGUGGGACCUCACUUUGUGAUCAUGUGAGUCAAUACUCCUUAAUAAACUCUCCUUUAAAUAUACAUCUAUCUUGUUAGUUCUGUCCCUCUAGAGAACCUUGACUAAUACGAUAGGGAAGCCAUAGUGACUGUCACUAAUAUUCUAAUAAAAGAAUUAUUAUCUAUGCCAACUCUGGAGAGCCACAGGUAAGCUAUACAUAGAUCAAAGUGUAAACCAGGGGUUCUCUGAGUGUGAUUCCUGGACCAGCAGUAUGUGGUGACAUUUGAAAUGCAAAUUCUUGGGCCCCACCUCAGACCACUGAAUUAGAAACUCCAGAGGUGGAGCUCAGCAGUUUGUUUUAACUAGUUCUCCAGGUGAUGCUGAGGCACAUCACAGUUGGAAAUGGUGAGGUAAGUAAGGAAUUUCAGCAGUUCAACUGCUGAAAUGUAGAUCUUAACAAAGUGCUAAAUGAAUAGAGGAAAAAGGGAUAAUUAUCUGAGACAUUUGGAUCUUGUUUCACGAAUAGGAGUUCAGAUGAAGUUAGGGAGGUCUUUUGAAGUAUAGGAAACAAGACAUGCAAAGACUGGGGAGGUUAGGAAGACCAGACCUAUUUCAAGAUAUACAAUGGCCUAGUGGGGCUUGAGGUAGCAGGGUGCAUUCUUUUUCUUAGAUAUGCUUCCUCCUCUCUGCUCCAUGGUGCCACACAUGAUGCUGGUGAUAAAGGAGACUGAGCGAGGGUAAAGAUUCACAGUGCCAGCAAGGGCUUGGACAUUGGCAGCCUAUGGAUCAAAUUGUGCUUGCAGAUGGGCUGUAUUUGGUAUUUUAUUGUACAAACACUAUGUAUUUGGCAUAGCAUUAUACAAAUAAAUGUGAACUAACAUUUAAUAAUCAGUUUGGAUGUAUAUAUGUGUAUAUAUAUUAUGUAUAAAUAACAUAUAUGCUAACACAAAAAUAUAUGUGCUAUAUUUAUAUUCUAUACAAAUAACAUAUAAAUAUAUGUUAACAUAUAAAAAUAUAUG
This 5148-nucleotide long non-coding RNA is filed under the name Homo sapiens (human). Its description in RNAcentral is "HSALNT0204123". Lineage: Eukaryota; Metazoa; Chordata; Mammalia; Primates; Hominidae. The record is from RNAcentral.